Rhinopithecus roxellana (golden snub-nosed monkey) is the source of this 103-nucleotide small nuclear RNA. NCBI's taxonomy places the organism in Eukaryota, Metazoa, Chordata, Mammalia, Primates, Cercopithecidae. The record is from Ensembl.
GUGCCCAUGUCGACAGCACAUAUACUAAAAUUGGAAGAUACAGAGAUUAGCAUGGCCCCUGCGGAAGGAUGACACGCAAAUUUGUGAAGCGUUCCAUAUUUUU